CCUACGGGAGGCAGCAGUGAGGAAUAUUGGUCAAUGGACGAGAGUCUGAACCAGCCAAGUAGCGUGAAGGAUGACUGCCCUAUGGGUUGUAAACUUCUUUUAUAUGGGAAUAAAAUGUUCCACGUGUGGGCUUUUGUAUGUACCAUAUGAAUAAGGAUCGGCUAACUCCGUGCCAGCAGCCGCGGUAAUACGGAGGAUCCGAUCGUUAUCCGGAUUUAUUGGGUUUAAAGGGAGCGUAGGUGGAUUGUUAAGUCAGUUGUGAAAGUUUGCGGCUCAACCGUAAAAUUGCAGUUGAAACUGGCAGUCUUGAGUACAGUAGAGGUGGGCGGAAUUCGUGGUGUAGCGGUGAAAUGCUUAGAGAUCACGAAGAACUCCGAUUGCGAAGGCAGCUCACUGGACUGCAACUGACACUGAGGCUCGAAAGUGUGGGUAUCAAACAGGAUUAGAUACCCUGGUAGUC
RNAcentral lists this ribosomal RNA (460 nucleotides) under uncultured bacterium. Its description in RNAcentral is "partial 16S ribosomal RNA". It matches the Rfam family "Bacterial small subunit ribosomal RNA", at positions 338 to 795 of the family's 1533-position model. The record is from RNAcentral.